Molecule: long non-coding RNA, 553 nt
Organism: Solanum lycopersicum (tomato)
Lineage: Eukaryota; Viridiplantae; Streptophyta; Magnoliopsida; Solanales; Solanaceae
Source: RefSeq, a predicted model, not a curated record
AUUAUUUUUUAGUUUCUUCAAUUUAGGGAUUUCCUGUAUUCAUUCUUAUGGCCUUCACAUUCUAGCCAUGUCUCCUAAAAUUCAGAAAUAAGAGAAUAGAUCUUUAACUUCCGUAUUCAAUAUUAAAGAGUUGAAAUCAAAUUGAAUACUCUGUUGCACAAUGCAAGAUGCAAAGAAUUACAGCUAUUUGGUGUCAAAUAGAUCAGUCCAAGAGUGGUGAGAUCAUCGCUCUCCUGGACUCAGGUCCAUGAUUGAUUACACCAAGGAUGAUGUUAACAGGAGAUACAACCUUAGCAAACUCUUUAAGUUCUGAAAAGAUGUUGUGUUCGUUGUAUGGUACUUUAUUAUCAGAAAUGUGUUGGUUUAAGAACAUUUUCUUAAAUUAGCUCUUUAGUAAUUUGUAUGAAUUCCAUCAAAUUUUAUCUUUUUAGAUUUUAGCUCAAGUAGGCAUGGAUGCUUUUGUUUAGCAUAAUAUAUGCGGUUUUAAGCUUGCCUUAUUCCCCCCUUGAUUGAUCAUUUGAGAUACAGUUACUUUAACAAGUUAAUUAUGUAA